GAGGCGUUCCUCCUGAGGCCGGGUGCGCGCACGCUUGGUGGGGACAAAGCAGGCUGGUCCGUUUUCAGUGACUAAAACGCAGCGUUGCGUUAGUUCCGGCUCCCCAGUCGCUUCUCAAGAUAAGGAUGAGCUCACUGAAUGGACCUGUCUCUGGCUCAGCACACACUCUGAGUGGGUCAAAUUCCAGCCCAGCCCCCGGCUCCCGCUCUUUGGGGCACAUCGAUUUCCCCUUUCCUGAGGCUUCCGGAAGCCAGCAUGCUGACUGCAUAGGACUCCACAGCCCUGUCUACACUUGAAGAUUCACCCAGCUCUCCCGGUUGGUUGCGACUGAGUGAAUGUAACCAAGACUUUCAUCAAGUUGAAAUGAAGUUUUCAGUUUUGCAUUGUUCAUAAUUUUCGUAGUUACCAGCCUUUUUUCUAAGACUAUUUACUGUUUUUUUGUUUGUUUUUAAUGCAGGGUUCCCGUGCAUCUUCUGAUUCCGCGUGUGAUUGUUCACAGCACCACCUUGCUUCCCAGGCACUGGGGAGGUGGAGCUAGGAGGAUCGUGAGUUCAAAGCCAACUUGGGAUACUUCCCUAGGGAGACCCCCCCCAUCUCAAAGAAACAAAAUCUCUGUAGACCCUAAUAUAUGGCAAAUAUUUUCUUUAGAUUAUCAAAGACUUUAACUCACCCAUUUUUAUUGUCUGUAUUCAUCAUGCACAGGGCUGGUCUUCAUGAAGAAAACUUAUCUCAAGAACAAGACGGACCUUGGCUGCAUCUCCCUGCCUUCUUUCCCCUUUCUGUUUCUCCUCCUCGGUCUUUCUGCUGCUUCCACUCACACAUAUGAAUGUGAUUUUCUGUAGCUACAUAAAAUCAUUUUCCACACAUAAACACAGGCUUGUGUGGUUUGAUACAUUCCUGUGACUCUGAUUCUGGGUGUCUGUUUCCCCUCAGAUACGGGUUGGUAAUUUUUCUACAAAUAAAUGUGGAAUUUAGUUGCUA
Molecule: long non-coding RNA, 981 nt
Organism: Meriones unguiculatus (Mongolian gerbil)
Lineage: Eukaryota; Metazoa; Chordata; Mammalia; Rodentia; Muridae
Exons: 2
Source: RefSeq, a predicted model, not a curated record